RNAcentral lists this ribosomal RNA (255 nucleotides) under uncultured bacterium. RNAcentral describes it as "partial 16S ribosomal RNA". It matches the Rfam family "Bacterial small subunit ribosomal RNA", at positions 99 to 349 of the family's 1533-position model. The record is from RNAcentral.
CGGACGGGUGAGUAAUGUCUGGGAAACUGCCUGAUGGAGGGGGAUAACUACUGGAAACGGUAGCUAAUACCGCAUAACGUCGCAAGACCAAAGAGGGGGACCUUCGGGCCUCUUGCCAUCAGAUGUGCCCAGAUGGGAUUAGCUAGUAGGUGGGGUAACGGCUCACCUAGGCGACAAUCCCUAGCUGGUCUGAGAGGAUGACCAGCCACACUGGAACUGAGACACGGUCCAGACUCCUACGGGAGGCCAGCAUGU